The sequence is a transfer RNA, 85 nucleotides long. It matches the Rfam family "tRNA". Rfam says of the family: Transfer RNA (tRNA) molecules are approximately 80 nucleotides in length.
GCCGAUGUGGUGGAAUUGGUAGACACGCACGGUUCAGGACCGUGUGCAGCAAUGCGUGUGGGUUCGACUCCCACCAUCGGCACCA